This is a non-coding RNA of Oryza barthii, 118 nucleotides long. NCBI's taxonomy places the organism in Eukaryota, Viridiplantae, Streptophyta, Magnoliopsida, Poales, Poaceae. The record is from Rfam.
AGGUAGGAUUCAAAAUAGAAGAUGCCUACCUGAUACAAUCUUCCUAGAGUAAAGUUGUCAUUUCCUGCUUGUGGUAUUGUUAGCAAGUCCUGCAAGUCUCAAAUGUCAAGACAGCUGC